RNAcentral lists this ribosomal RNA (492 nucleotides) under uncultured bacterium. Its description in RNAcentral is "partial 16S ribosomal RNA". It matches the Rfam family "Bacterial small subunit ribosomal RNA", at positions 899 to 1397 of the family's 1533-position model. The record is from RNAcentral.
ACUCAAAGGAAUUGACGGGGACUCGCACAAGCAGUGGAGCAUGUGGUUUAAUCCGAUAUGACGCGUAGAACCUUACCAAGGCUUGACAUGUCCGGCAAAGUUAGUGAAAGCUAAUGGAGGUUAUCCGGUCACAGGUGCUGCAUGGUCAUCGUCAGUUCGUGCCGUGAGGUGUAUGGUUAAGUCCUAUAACGAACGCAACCCUUGUGCUUAGUUGCCAGCAUUAAGUUGGGGACUCUAAGCAGACUGCCAGAGUAAUCUGGAGGAAGGAAAGGAUGACGUUUGAUCGUCAUGGCCCUUAUGCCUUGGGCGACACACGUGCUACAAUGGUUAGGACAAUGGGUUGCCAACCCGCGAGGGGGAGCUAAUCUCAAAAAACUAACCUCAGUUCGGAUUGGAGGCUGAAACUCGCCUCCAUGAAGUCGGAAUUGCUAGUAAUCGCAAAUCAGCCAUGUUGCGGUGAAUACGUUCUCGAGUCUUGUACACACCGCCCGU